AGCCUUAGGAAAAUAUCUUAGGUUAAACCUGCCCAAUGUAAUAAAAAUGAAUGGCCGCGGUACUUUGACCGUGCUAAGGUAGCGCAAUCAAUUGGCUUUUAAUUGGAGUCAGGAAUGAAUGGAAUCACGGGGUUUAGCUGUCUCUAAAUUAUUAUAUUGAAAUUACUAUUUAGGUGAAAAAGCCUAAAACAAGAAAAAGGACGAGAAGACCCUUAGAGUUUUACUUAAUCUAAAUUAAUUAUUUGGAGCAGUUUAGUUGGGGCAACAUAGGAGCAGAAUUAACUAAUCUCCUUAAAAUAAUUAACCGAUUUUUAUAAACUUAGAUAAACUACCUUAGGGAUAACAGCAUAAUUUUAUAAAAAAGUUUGUGACCUCGAUGUUGGAUUAGGAAACUAAAAGGCUAGCCGCCUUUUAGGAAAGUUCUGUUCGAACUAUUAUUCCUA
RNAcentral lists this ribosomal RNA (443 nucleotides) under Akiodoris lutescens. Its description in RNAcentral is "partial 16S ribosomal RNA". It matches the Rfam family "Archaeal large subunit ribosomal RNA", at positions 1920 to 2666 of the family's 2987-position model. The record is from RNAcentral. Lineage: Eukaryota; Metazoa; Mollusca; Gastropoda; Nudibranchia; Akiodorididae.